RNAcentral lists this ribosomal RNA (390 nucleotides) under Chrysophyceae sp. RNAcentral describes it as "partial small subunit ribosomal RNA". It matches the Rfam family "Eukaryotic small subunit ribosomal RNA", at positions 582 to 975 of the family's 1831-position model. Lineage: Eukaryota; Chrysophyceae. The record is from RNAcentral.
AUUCCAGCUCCAAUAGCGUAUACUAAAGUUGCUGCAGUUAAAAAGCUCGUAGUUGGAUUUCUGGUCGUGGUCGCCGGUCGUGCCCAAACGGGUUCUGUACCUGGCGCCCGCGUCCAUCCUCGGGGAGAGCGUGUCUGGCAUUAAGUUGUCGGGCUCGGGACCCCCGUCAUUUACUGUGAGCAAAAUAGAGUGUUCAAAGCAGGCUUAGGCCAUGAAUACAUUAGCAUGGAAUAAUAAGACAAGACCUUGGUCUAUUUUGUUGGUUUGCAUUCCAAGGUAAUGAUUAAUAGGGUUAGUUGGGGGUAUUCGUAUUCAAUUGUCAGAGGUGAAAUUCUUGGAUUUAUGGAAGACGAACUACUGCGAAAGCAUUUACCAAGGAUGUUUUCAUCA